This 1925-nucleotide ribosomal RNA is filed under the name metagenome. RNAcentral describes it as "bacterial LSU rRNA". It matches the Rfam family "Bacterial large subunit ribosomal RNA", at positions 3 to 1973 of the family's 2925-position model. The record is from RNAcentral.
UCAAGCGACUAAGUGUAUGUGGUGGAUGCCUUGGCGAUCACAGGCGAUGAAGGACGUGACAGCCUGCGAAAAGCUGUGGGGAGCUGGCAAAUAAGCUUUGAUCCACAGAUGUCCGAAUGAGGGAACUCACCUGCUUUGCAGGUAUCCCAUCCUGAAUAUAUAGGGAUGGGAGGCGAACGAAGCGAACUGAAACAUCUAAGUAGCUUCAGGAAAAGAAAUCAACCGAGAUUCCGAAAGUAGCGGCGAGCGAAAUCGGAUCAGCCCAGCACUCGAUAGCAGCCAACUUACGGGAACGGUCUGGAAAGUCCGGCCAUAGAGGGUGAUAGCCCCUUACUGGAAAAGGCAGCUGUGGUACUAAGUGUGCGAUAAGUAGAGCGGGACACGUGACAUCCUGCUCGAAGAUGGGGGGACCAUCCUCCAAGGCUAAAUACUCGUGAUCGACCGAUAGCGUACCAGUACUGUGAAGGAAAGGUUAAAAGAACCCCGGGAGGGGAGUGAAAUAGAUCCUGAAACCGCAUACAUACAAACAGUAGGAGCCUCGUUAAGGGGUGACUGCGUACCUUUUGCAUAAUGGGUCAGCGACUUACGUUUAAUGGCGAGCUUAACCGUAUAGGGGAGGCGCAGCGAAAGCGAGUUCGAACAGAGCGUUCAGUCGUUAGGCGUAGACCCGAAACCAGAUGAUCUAUCCAUGGCCAGGUUGAAGGUGUGGUAACACACACUGGAGGACCGAACCGACUAGUGUUGCAAAAUUAGCGGAUGAGCUGUGGAUAGGGGUGAAAGGCUAAACAAAUCUGGAGAUAGCUGGUUCUCCCCGAAAACUAUUGAGGUAGUGCCUCGUGUAUGACUCCAGGGGGUAGAGCACUGUUAUGGCUAGGGGGACAUGGCGUCUUACCAAACCAUGGCAAACUCCGAAUACUUGGAAGUUUGAGCACGGGAGACAGAGCACCGGGUGCUAACGUCCGGACUCAAGAGGGAAACAACCCAGACCGCCGGCUAAGGUCCCUAAUAUUGACUAAGUGGAAAACGAAGUGGAAAGGCUAAGACAGUCAGGAAGUUGGCUUAGAAGCAGCCAUCCUUCAAAGAAAGCGUAAUAGCUCACUGAUCGAGUCUUUCUGCGCGGAAGAUGUAACGGGGCUAAGUCAAUAACCGAAGCCGCGGAUUCACACUUAUGUGUGAGUGGUAGGGGAGCGUUCUGUAAGCCUGCGAAGGUGACUCGUAAGGGUUGCUGGAGGUAUCAGAAGUGCGAAUGCUGACAUGAGUAACGUUAAAGCGGGUGAAAAGCCCGCUCGCCGUAAGCCCAAGGUUUCCUGCUCUACGUUCAUCGGAGCAGGGUGAGUCGGCCCCUAAGGUGAGGCUGAGAAGCGUAACUGAUGGGAACAAGGUUAAUAUUCCUUGACCACCGCUGAAUGCGAAGGGGGGACGGAGUAUUGAAGAUCAUCCGGGUGUUGGAUAUCCCGGUUUGCGAGCGUAGGAGGCUGACAGGCAAAUCCGUCAGCGGAUCUCCGAGGCGAAGCAUCGAGCUCUCUUUUGAGCGAAGUGAUUGGAUGUGCUUCCAGGAAAAGCCUCUAAGCUCCAGUUCAGCGGGACCGUACCGCAAACCGACACUGGUGGGCGAGCUGAAUAUGCUCAGGCGCUUGAGAGAACUCAGGAGAAGGAACUCGGCAAAUUGACACCGUAACUUCGGGAUAAGGUGUGCCUUUGUAGCGUGGAGGGAGAAACACCCCGAGCGCGAAGAGGUCUCAGAUAAUCGGUGGCUGCGACUGUUUAUUAAAAACACAGCACUCUGCAAAGACGAAAGUCGACGUAUAGGGUGUGAUGCCUGCCCGGUGCUGGAAGAUUAAUUGAUGGGGUGCAAGCUCCUGAUCGAAGUCCCAGUAAACGGCGGCCGUAACUAUAACGGUCCUAAGGUAGCGAAAUUCCUUGUC